Molecule: non-coding RNA, 96 nt
Organism: Triticum aestivum (bread wheat)
Lineage: Eukaryota; Viridiplantae; Streptophyta; Magnoliopsida; Poales; Poaceae
Source: Rfam
GUGGAGAUGAUGAUCCUUUCCCCAGAUGAUCGACAAUGAACAUGCUGAGCGCUAUAAUUUCUCUUUAGGAGAAACCAAGCCAGGACUCUGAUCUGC